Molecule: long non-coding RNA, 2913 nt
Filed under: Haliotis rubra (blacklip abalone)
Lineage: Eukaryota; Metazoa; Mollusca; Gastropoda; Lepetellida; Haliotidae
Description: uncharacterized LOC124277046
Source: RNAcentral
ACAGAAUAGGUCCCCAGUAACCCUUGUCUCUCUGGAUGUUCCAGUACAGAAUAGGUCCCCAGUAACCCUUGUCUCUCUGGGUGUUCCAGUACAGAAUAGGUCCCCAGUAACCCUUGUCUCUCUGGGUGUUCCAGUACAGAAUAGGUACCUAGUAACCCUUGUCUCUCUGGGUGUUCCAGGACAGAAUAGGUUCCCAGUAACCCUUGUCUCUCUGGGUGAUCCAGUACAGAAUAGGUCCCCAGUAACCCUUGUCUCUCUGGGUGUUCCAGUACAGAAUAGGUCCCCAGUAACCCUUGUCUCUCUGGGUGAUCCAGUACAGAAUAGGUCCCCAGUAACCCUUGUCUCUCUGGUUGAUCCAGUACAGAAUAGGUCCCCAGUAACCCUUGUCUCUCUGGGUGUUCCAGUUCAGAAUAGGUCCCCAGUAACCCUUGUCUCUCUGGGUGUUCCAGUACAGAAUAGGUCCCAGGUAACCCUUGUCUCUCUGGGUGUUCCAGUACAGAAUAGGUCCCUAGUAACCCUUGUCUCUCUGGAUGUUCCAGCACAGAAUAGGUCCCCAGUAACCCUUGUCUCUCUGGGUGUUCCAGUACAGAAUAGGUCCCUAGUAACCCUUGUCUCUCUGGAUGUUCCAGUACAGAAUAGGUACCUAGUAACCCUUGUCUCUCUGGGUGUUCCAGUACAGAAUAGGUCCCUAGUAACCCUUGUCUCUCUGGAUGUUCCAGUACAGAAUAGGUCCCUAGUAACCCUUGUCUCUCUGGGUGUUCCAGUACAGAAUAGGUCCCCAGUAACCCUUGUCUCUCUGGAUGUUCCAGUACAGAAUAGGUCCCCAGUAACCCUUGUCUCUCUGGGUGUUCCAGUACAGAAUAGGUCCCCAGUAACCCUUGUCUCUCUGGGUGUUCCAGGACAGAAUAGGUCCCCAGUAACCCUUGUCUCUCUGGGUGUUCCAGGACAGAAUAGGUCCCCAGUAACCCUUGUCUCUCUGGGUGUUCCAGUACAGAAUAGGUCCCCAGUAACCCUUGUCUCUCUGGGUGUUCCAGGACAGAAUAGGUCCCCAGUAACCCUUGUCUCUCUGGGUGUUCCAGGACAGAAUAGGUCCCCAGUAACCCUUGUCUCUCUGGGUGUUCCAGGACAGAAUAGGUCCCCAGUAACCCUUGUCUCUCUGGGUGUUCCAGUACAGAAUAGGACCAUAGUAACCCUUGUCUCUCUGGGUGUUCCAGUACAGAAUAUGUCCCUAGUAACCCUGGUCUCUCUGGGUGUUCCAGGACAGAAUAGGUCCCCAAUUUACAUGACAGCCCAUCGUUCCUUGCAGAAUGUUACAAUUGUCUUGUUACUAGUUCCAUUGUAGUUAGGUCCCAGUGCCUUCAUUUCUGCAAAGGUGUGGGGGGGUAGCCUAGUGGUUAAAGCAUUCACCUGUCCCUGCAAAGGUCUGGGUUCGAUUCCCCACAUGGGUGAAAUGUGUGAAGCCCAUCACCCACCAUGAUACUGCUGGAAUAUUGCUGAAGGUGGCACAAAACUAAACUCACUCACUACUGCCAGUCCUUUUGCUAAUUUUAUAAGUAACAAGACUGCCUAUUACUGUGAAUACAGAAGUUGGAAUAUUCCAGACUUCAGCAUUGAUCAAGAAAAACAGGCCCUUACGUGAGGAAACUUGUAGUGUCCAUUAUUUUUGUACCUGGAGGAUAUUGUUGAUGUUCAAUAGUUUCACAAUCUUUCUGUAUUAAUGUGUAUGUACUUAAGUUACCAUUUAGUAUUGUUUUGUCAUUGGAACAUUUCUAGCCUACCAAAUUGUACUGUAUGUAUGGCAGAUUAUCCCACGUCAGUUUACUGUGUGAGAAGUAAGGUAUUGGUGUUCCCCGCCUUGAUCCAGCUGGGAUAAGAGUGCUAAUGUGUCUCACUGACUCACUAUGAUGAUAGGAAUGCAUCUAUAUCUGUAUCACAUGCAGGAGUGUGGCUGGCUCAGUCAGACAAAGCUGCAAGAUUUGCCUCCCUUAGUUGUGCCAGAAUCUGAUGAUGGGUUUGCCAUCUUUAUGGUUCAUUUGUCAGCUCCAUGAACUUACAUGUGGAUUGAAUUUUCAUUAGGGCCUGUAUCUAUUCUGGAUUUCCGCCUGGUCCUCUUGCAUGUGGUGGAUUGUGUGACGGGGUGGUGGAUUGUGUGACGGGGUGAUGUAUUAACCAUGCAGCAAUCUUCUCUCUACGUUUGCCGUAUGAUCAAUUUAAAUGUUUACUGAUUGUUAUAAGGGCCCAGUCCAUUAUUGUAGGGGUGGGUGGAUCAGAGGGUCAUGAAAAUAUUCAUACUCUCCUUGUGAUAUGGGUUUUCAUGAGCUUGAGAGAAGCUAUUAUUUUCAUGAUUAUCGUAAUUGUACCAAUUGUAAAACUCGUCAAUAACUUAUUGAAGACAACUUUAUCUUAAACACGUCAUCAUUUGAGUAUUUGUCUCGUUAUAGCGAGAAAAACAUUGCUGUCCAAAAACACAUAAUCUGACAAUAAAAGUGCUUUUGUAUUUAGUCUUUUCAAGGACAUGGGGAAGGUCAUAAAAAUAUAGCACAACCAAUCGGAGAGGGUCAGCAUUCACACUAAUGCAUCCAACCUAUAAUAAAUGACUGGUCUGUUUUUACCAAUAUAUGAUAAUCUCACUAGUACUAGACAAUCAGCUCUUUCCAUUCAGUUUAUGAAUAAAAAGGAAAUAACUUUUCCACACAAAUGAUGUUAUUUUUUCAAUGUAACAUUGAGAAACAUGGUUAUUUGCACAGUACUGUUUCCAGUGAAAUCACCUGUUCUGGUUCAUACUCAUUGUUAGAAAAGCAAGUUGUCGUAUUUCUAGGGGUAUACUGUUGGGAUGUUGGACAUUGUUUUCAUGUGUCUGUUUUGCACUGUAAGCUAUGGACAGGUUUUAAUGCAAUAAAUAAUUGAAUUCUU